RNAcentral lists this transfer RNA (89 nucleotides) under Gammaproteobacteria bacterium. RNAcentral describes it as "tRNA-Leu". The record is from RNAcentral. Lineage: Bacteria; Pseudomonadati; Pseudomonadota; Gammaproteobacteria.
GGCAGCUCUCGCAGCGCAUGCGCAAGAAUCCAUGCUCGAGCCGGACUUAGAAUUCGCUAUCGGUGGUUCGAUUCCGCCCCUGGCUACCA